UAACGUCUUCAGGGCGGGGUGCAACUCCCCACCGGCGGUAGGUUUCGGUGGCAACCAGCCAGCGCGACAAGCCCGCGAGCGCCUCCGGCGGCAUGCUUCGGCGUGGCCGUGGAGGGUCAGCAGAUCCGGUCCGAUGCCGGAGCCGACGGUCAUAGUCCGGAUGAAAGAAGACGGCG
RNAcentral lists this non-coding RNA (176 nucleotides) under Novilysobacter concretionis. RNAcentral describes it as "Lysobacter concretionis FMN sequence". It matches the Rfam family "FMN riboswitch aptamer (RFN element)". Rfam says of the family: The RFN element is a highly conserved domain that is found frequently in the 5'-untranslated regions of prokaryotic mRNAs that encode for flavin mononucleotide (FMN) biosynthesis and transport proteins. RNAcentral also lists the same sequence under 1 other name. The record is from RNAcentral. Lineage: Bacteria; Pseudomonadati; Pseudomonadota; Gammaproteobacteria; Lysobacterales; Lysobacteraceae.